UCGGGAAUUUUGGGCAAUGGGCGAAAGCCUGACCCAGCAACGCCGCGUGAAGGAUGAAGUAUUUCGGUAUGUAAACUUCGAAAGAAUAGGAAGAAUAAAUGACGGUACUAUUUAUAAGGUCCGGCUAACUACGUGCCAGCAGCCGCGGUCAUACGUAGGACCCAAGCGUUAUUCGGAAUUACUGGGCGUAAAGAGUUGCGUAGGUGGCAUAGUAAGCGGGUAGUGAAAUCGUGUGGCUCAACCAUACAGACAUUAUCUGAACUGCUAAGCUAGAGUAUGAUAGAGGUAACUGGAAUUCCAAGUGUAGGAGUGAAAUCCGUAGAUAUUUGGAGGAACACCGAUGGCGUAGGCAGGUUACUGGAUCAUUACUGACACUGAGGCACGAAAGCGUGGGGAGCAAACGGGAUUAGAUACCCACGUAGUCCCUGAGCGGGCUGGCAAGGCGCAU
Molecule: ribosomal RNA, 448 nt
Filed under: uncultured bacterium
Lineage: Bacteria
Description: bacterial SSU rRNA
Rfam family: Bacterial small subunit ribosomal RNA
Source: RNAcentral